AUUGAACGCUGGCGGCAGGACUAACAAAUGCAAGUAGAGCGGAGCGGCGGACGGGUGAGUAAUGCCUAGGAAUCUGCCUGGUAGUGGGGGAUAACGUCCGGAAACGGGCGCUAAUACCUCAUACUUUCAUAUGAGCCUAGGUCGGAUUCGAUAGUUGGUGGGGUAAAGGCCUACCAAGGCUACAAUCCGUAACUGGUCUUAGAGGAUGAUCAGUCACACUGGAACUGAGACACGGUCCAGACUCCUACGGGAGGCAGCAGUGGGGAAUAUUUGACAAUGGGCGAAAGCCUGAUCCAGCCAUUCCGCGUGUGUGAAGAAGGUCUUCGGAUUGUAAAGCACUUUAAGUUGUGAGGCGUUACCAACAGCAUAAGCACCGGCUAACUUCGUGCCAGCCGCCGCGUUAAUUC
Molecule: ribosomal RNA, 407 nt
Filed under: uncultured bacterium
Lineage: Bacteria
Description: partial 16S ribosomal RNA
Rfam family: Bacterial small subunit ribosomal RNA
Source: RNAcentral